RNAcentral lists this ribosomal RNA (253 nucleotides) under uncultured bacterium. Its description in RNAcentral is "partial 16S ribosomal RNA". It matches the Rfam family "Bacterial small subunit ribosomal RNA", at positions 524 to 776 of the family's 1533-position model. The record is from RNAcentral.
UACGUAGGGUGCAGGCGUUAAUCGGAAUUACUGGGCGUAAAGCGUGCGCAGGCGGUUCGACAAGUCCGAUGUGAAAGCCCCGGGCUCAACCUGGGAAUGGCAUUGGAAACUGGCGGGCUGGAGUGUGGCAGAGGGGGGUGGAAUUCCGCGUGUAGCAGUGAAAUGCGUAGAGAUGCGGAGGAACACCGAUGGCGAAGGCAGCCCCCUGGGCUGACACUGACGCUCAGGCACGAAAGCGUGGGGAGCAAACAGG